This is a non-coding RNA of Triticum aestivum (bread wheat), 135 nucleotides long. The record is from Rfam. NCBI's taxonomy places the organism in Eukaryota, Viridiplantae, Streptophyta, Magnoliopsida, Poales, Poaceae.
AACAUACUUCCUCUGUCCAGAAAUACUUGUCACCAAAAUGAACAAAAAGGAAUGUAUCUAGACGUAUUUUAGUUCUAGAUACAUCCCUUUUUAUCCAUUUUGAUGAAAAGUAUUUUCGGACAGAGGGAGUAUUUU